AAUUAUGGACAAUGGGGGUAACGCUGACCCAGCCAUCCCGCGUGUAUGAUGAAGGACUUCUGGUUGUAAAUUACUUUUUGCAGAGAAGAAUAGGUAUCUCCUAAUACGAGAUACUUCUGACGGUAUCUGCUGAAUAAGCACCGGCUAACUACGAUCCAGCAGCCGCGGUAAUACGUAGGGUGCAAGCGUUAAUCGGAAUUACUGGGCGGAAAGCGGGUGUAGGCGGUUCGGAAAGAAAGAUGUGAAAUCCCAGGGCUCAACCUUGGAACUGCAUUUUUAACUGCCGAGCUAGAGUAUGUCAGAGGGGGGUAGAAUUCCACGUGUAGCAGUGAAAUGCGUAGAUAUGUGGAGGAAUACCGAUGGCGAAGGCAGCCCCCUGGGAUAAUACUGACGCUCAGACACGAAAGCGUGAGGAGCAAACA
RNAcentral lists this ribosomal RNA (422 nucleotides) under uncultured bacterium. Its description in RNAcentral is "partial 16S ribosomal RNA". It matches the Rfam family "Bacterial small subunit ribosomal RNA", at positions 360 to 774 of the family's 1533-position model. The record is from RNAcentral.